This 478-nucleotide ribosomal RNA is filed under the name uncultured bacterium. Its description in RNAcentral is "partial 16S ribosomal RNA". It matches the Rfam family "Bacterial small subunit ribosomal RNA", at positions 28 to 523 of the family's 1533-position model. The record is from RNAcentral.
GACGAACGCUGGCGGCGUGCUUAACACAUGCAAGUCGAGCGACGAAGUUCCUUCGGGAAUGGAUUAGCGGCGGACGGGUGAGUAACACGUGGGUAACCUGCCUCAUAGAGGGGAAUAGCCUUUCGAAAGGAAGAUUAAUACCGCAUAAGAUUGUAGUAUCGCAUGAUACAGCAAUUAAAGGAGCAAUCCGCUAUGAGAUGGACCCGCGUCGCAUUAGCUAGUUGGUGAGGUAACGGCUCACCAAGGCGACGAUGCGUAGCCGACCUGAGAGGGUGAUCGGCCACAUUGGGACUGAGACACGGCCCAGACUCCUACGGGAGGCAGCAGUGGGGAAUAUUGCACAAUGGGGGAAACCCUGAUGCAGCAACGCCGCGUGAGUGAUGACGGUCUUCGGAUUGUAAAACUCUGUCUUCAGGGACGAUAAUGACGGUACCUGAGGAGGAAGCCACGGCUAACUACGUGCCAGCCGCCGCGGUAA